ACAUCACUUAGUCCAUCAUACUGUCAUUUAUGCCUUUCUGAGGGGAUGUUAAUACAGUAUAUAAACUGACUAUUGUGGGCUUUUCAUUGUCUGCAUAGUAAUCUCUUAGAAUUCAAAGCACUUUUCUUGCAUUGUCAGUUGCUGCUCUCAUUGUUAAAGGACCACUCUAGGCACCCAGACCACUUCAGCUUAAUGAAGUGGUCUGGGUGCCAGGUCCAGCUAGGGUUAACCCAUUUUUUCAUAAACAUAGCAGUGUUGUCAGGGUUUCUUUGCUGUUUUAAACAGCCACCCUUCCUUUUUCUGUCUGAGGUUUCUGUCUGAGGUUUCAGCUGUUAUUAACGAUCAGCUCCUUCAGUAUGUUGCCACGGUUACUCACCUGAGAAUAGUAAUCAACCCUGCUGCUAAUCAGUUCAGCCUAUUUAAGCAGCAAAUCCCAGAACCUCCUUGCCCUUGCAUGGUUUCCUGUUCCCCAGAAGUCUCCUUGUUCCUGUGUUUCCUGUUUGCUCCUGGUUCCUGACUCUGGCCUUGUUCCUGACUUCGCUGCCCUCCGUGCUCCUGAUCCUGGCUCGUCUGACUACCCGCUCUGGUGACUGACCCCUGCUUGCCUGCUGGACUUUGCUUUUGGUUAUUUCUUUGUUAUUUAUUAAAUAAAGGUGUUUUUGCAUCUAGAUCUGUCUCUGUCUGGUUCCUGGUUCCUGACAUUACGCAAGGGCCAUGAAUACAGAUGGUACAGGCAAUACACCUAUACCUAACCUAUUUACCCGGUGGGACCAGCAGAACCACCAUUUGGACCAGUAUGUCCAUCUGAAUCCAAAACCCGGCCAGCCUGCGAUUGCGGCCGCCUCUGCCUCACUUCCUGUUCUGGCACCGGUUGUAGCCUCCGAACCUGUUGCGGCUAGAGGAAUGACUGGGUCUGUCCCGCUCCCUCAGUAUUUUGGGGGCAACCCAGCUCAGUGCAAAGAAUUUAUAAAUCAGGUUAAAGUAUACCUUGAAAUGCUGCCCCAGGCAUUUCCUACAGACAGCGACAAAGUCCAGUUCAUGAUUUCUUUGCUGUCUGAAAAAGCCCUAGCUUGGGCAAAACCUCUCUGGGAGGCAGAGAGGCCCAUCAUUUACAACUACCCUGAAUUUGUUGCGUCCUUUAAAAGGGUUUUUGAUAUUCCAGCUCGCUCCACUCCUACUGCCAAACAACUCAUGUCUAAUACUCAGGGCACGAAAACUAUUGUUGAGUAUGCCAGUGAAUUCCGUACCAUGGCAGCAGAGGGUGGCUGGAAUAACGAGAUUCUCGUGGCUGCCUUUGCACAGGGG
Pelobates cultripes (western spadefoot toad) is the source of this 1305-nucleotide non-coding RNA. Lineage: Eukaryota; Metazoa; Chordata; Amphibia; Anura; Pelobatidae. The record is from the annotation of a GenBank genome assembly.